Molecule: ribosomal RNA, 2193 nt
Filed under: Triticum aestivum (bread wheat)
Lineage: Eukaryota; Viridiplantae; Streptophyta; Magnoliopsida; Poales; Poaceae
Description: partial small subunit ribosomal RNA
Source: RNAcentral
AUGCGGGAACUCUCGUUUCUGUCUCUUACACGCAAUCAAUUGGUAGGUAAUAUUCCAGCUUCGCUUGGCAACUUAUCCAAAUUGUCUGUCCUAACUUUGCCAGGUAAUCAAUUGUCGGGACAAGUACCAGCAACAUUAGGGAAACUUGCAGCUUUGACCGUGCUUGAAUUGUCAAGUAACAAUUUAGAGGGGAAUCUAGACUUCCUUUCGAGUCUUUCCCAGUGCAGGCAACUCUGGUUCCUCGGUAUACAUAAUAAUUCUUUCAGAGGAGUCCUCCAUGGCCAUGUGGGAAACCUCACUUCACGGUUGACCAUUUUUCGAGCAGGUUAUAACAAAUUAACAGGUGGAAUUCCUGCAGCAAUUUCAAACAUUAGCAGCCUUGAACUGAUAGAUCUUCGUGACAACCUAUUCACCGAGCCGAUUCCCGAUUCCAUCGCUAUGUUAGAGAAUCUUGUAGAUCUUGAUCUCUCACACAAUGACAUGUUAGGCCCUAUCCCAGCACAAAUGGGUAUGCUUCGGAGUCUAGGACAGUUACUCCUUGAAGCAAACAAAUUCUCAGGAUCCAUACCAAGCAGCUUUGAUAAUCUUAGUUUCUUACAAAACAUCGACUUGUCUAAUAACAAGUUGGGGUCAACGAUACCCCCAAGCCUUUUCCGCCUAAAUAAACUUAUCACAUUGGAUGUUUCUCACAAUUCCAUUGAUGGUGCACUACCAGAUGAUGUUUCUGGUCUAAGACAGAUUGAUCAAAUUGAUCUCUCUUCGAACUUCUUGGUAGGAAGCAUCCCAGAAUCAUUUGGACAACUUGAUAUGCUAACGUACGUAAAUCUAUCUCAUAACUCCUUCAAAGGCUCAAUUCCCGACCCACUGAGAAAACUAGGAAGCUUAGCAUCAUUAGACCUUUCAUUCAACAAUCUCUCUGGUAUCAUUCCCAUGUUCCUUGCCAACUUUACCUACUUGACUACCUUGAACCUCUCAUUCAAUAGGUUAGAAGGCCAAAUACCCAAGGGGGGUGUUUUCUCAAACAUCACCUUGCAAUCUUUGAUUGGGAAUGCUGGGCUAUGUGGUGCUCAACGCCUAGGAGUGCCGCCAUGCCUUGAUAGAUCUAGAUCAAGUAACAAACACUUGCUAAAAAUUCUACUUCCAACACUCAUAUUAGCCUCUAGUGCCAUUGUCAUUUGCUUGUAUCUAUGGUUCGGAAAAAAACUAAAGAAGGAGAAGAACAAUGCUUCUGUUGAUACAAGCAAUGUUCCGGGUCACGAGAUAAUCUCCUAUCAUGAGCUCAUUCGCGCCACCAAUAAUUUCAGUGAAGAUAACAUUUUGGGUUCCGGAAGCUUUGGGAAAGUCUUCAUGGGAAGACUGAGCAGUGGUUUGGUGGUUGCGAUAAAAGUUCUUGACAUGCAGCUCGAGCAGGCCAUUCGAAGUUUUGAUGUUGAGUGUCGAGUACUUCACAUGGCGCGGCACCGUAACCUGAUCAAGAUACUCAACGCGUGCUCUAACCUUGACUUUAGAGCACUGGUGCUUCAAUACAUGCCAAAUGGCAGCUUAGAGACACUCCUACACCGGUCUGAGGGUACACGACAUGUGGGGUUCCUAGAGAGACUGGACAUCAUGCUCGACGUGUCAAUGGCACUUGAGUAUCUGCACCAUGAUCACUAUGAGCUGAUCCUGCACUGUGACUUGAAGCCUAGCAAUGUGUUGUUUGAUGAGGAGAUGACUGCACAUGUGGCAGACUUCGGCAUUGCAAGGUGGCUUCUCGGUGAUGACACCUCUAUGAUAUGUACGAGCAUGCCCGAAACGGUUGGAUACAUGGCACCAGAGUACGGUUCACUCGGAAAAGCAUCACGGAAGAGCGACGUGUUUAGUUACGGGAUUAUGCUUCUUGAAGUCUUUACUAGAAGGAAGCCAACUGACGCCAUGUUUGAUGCACAGCUAACCUUUAGGCAAUGGGUUUGUCAGGCAUUUCCUGCAGAGCUUGUCCAAAUCAUCGAUGGUCAGCUACUGCAAGGCUCCCCUCUUUCUAGCUGCAGUUUGGAAAAUGGCUCUCUUGCAUCUGUGCUCGAGUUGGGUUUGCUCUGUUGCAGCGACUCGCCUGACCAAAGAACAACGAUGCGUGAUGUGGUCGUGACGUUGAAGAAGAUCAAAGCUGAAUACAUCAAACAGACAGCAACAACAUCACGUAGUGCAACACAAUGA